UCUAAGUUAUCUUGUCAACGAUAUUUGAAUUUUGAAUUUUACCGGUCGCCAUUGCCAAAACGGCUACCGGGCUACCAACGUCCAGAAGAGAGGACAUCGGAUGGCUUCUGAAAGCAUUGUUUCGAUGGACGUCUUUCCUCUGACCUGUUACCAAGACAGCUGGAUGUGUAAGAAGUUGGAACUAAGUCACUGAAGAAGUAAACCGUUGAAAACCGAUUUGGAUUGUCUGAGAGAUGACACAAGUAAAAGGAGAAGAAUGCUGCUCAGCUGGGUUGGCGAAGCUCUUGGAUAUCAUCAGCACAUGUAUGAAGCACAGAGUCAUUCCGGUAGGCACAGAGUUGUUCCUCGAUGGACGUGAUGACCUGGCACCAAAACCGCUUAAUGUGUAUGAGGCUGUGUCUGCAUCGAGGGAAGAACCCAGCACUGAAAUGACACAAAUGAAAGAAGAGUACUUCUGCUCUGCUGGGUCUGCGACACUACUUAUCCGAGGAGUCCUCAAACAUCAGGAUGUAGGAAGACACAAGUAAAAGGAGAAGAAUGCUGCUCAGCUGGGUUGGCGAAGCUCUUGGAUAUCAUCAGCACAUGUAUGAAGCACAGAGUCAUUCCGGUAGGCACAGAGUUGUUCCUCGAUGGACGUGAUGACCUGGCACCAAAACCGCUUAAUGUGUAUGAGGCUGUGUCUGCAUCGAGGGAAGAACCCAGCACUGAAAUGACACAAAUGAAAGAAGAGUACUUCUGCUCUGCUGGGUCUGCGACACUACUUAUCCGAGGAGUCCUCAAACAUCAGGAUGUAGGAAGACACAAGUAAAAGGAGAAGAAUGCUGCUCAGCUGGGUCGGUGGUCACACUACUGAUUCAAGAAGCUCUUGGAUAUCAUCGGCAUGUAUAAAGCACAGUCAUUCCGGUAUGCACGGAGUCGUUCCUCGAUGGACGUGAUGACCUGGCACCAAAACCGCUUAAUUUGUAUGAAGCUGUGUCUGCAUCGAGGGAAGAACCCAGCACUGAAAUGACACAAAUGAAAGAGGACGUCUUCUCUGCUGGGUGUGCGACACUACUUAUUCUAGGAAUCCUCAAACAUCAGGAUGUAGGAAACUUAUGGUGAGAUGCCAAGAGCCGCCAUGAGGGAUAUGCAACCUGCAGCUUCACCAUGCUUUUGGGAGAUCAUCUACUACGUGAACCUUGAGUAUCUACAAGCCAGCUACUUUAAGUUCUUGAAAGGGUAGUGAUGUCAUUCAAGCCAGAUCACGAGACAAGGUCCUGUACAAACUGUCAAUCUAAAUGUUGCGACAUCCCUGUCAGUUCUUUUGGACUGAAUACAUGCUGUGUUUGAAAUAUAUUAUUCGGAUAACUCCCCAUCAGAGAAUACCUUGUCUGUUAAUGACGGAUGGACAUGCCAUUGACAUGCCGUGCACACUUUGAUGUUUUUUAUUUUAAUGUUUUCUAUGUUUUCCAAUGUUCUUUUUUUAUUUAUGUUCUGUUAUAUGCUGGUUAUGUAAGUACUGUAUGGAAUGUAGUGACUGUAGAGACCAAGACAAAUUUCAACCUGGGGACAAAAAGUUCACACCACUCUGUUAGCGCAGUUAUGGAUACACUGUAAAUUUUGUAAUUAACCAAAAGUACGGUGAGAAGCCUGUUUGUGCAGAUGGACCUGCUGGCGGGCCUGUUUACUCAUAGCUAAAAAGCAACAUAUUAUCUGUGCAAAAGCACAUGGGCUCUUCGAAAAGGGGUUAAACAUUUUAAUGUGCUGUUUUACAGUGUGCUAUACAAAAGGUAAGGUGAAACUAAUUUUUUGAAAUUCUAUAAUUGUACAGUGUCACUGAAAUCAAAUGGUGCAUUGGUAAAACUGAACCAUUUCCUUUAAUCCCGUUUAGCAGAGCCUAUGUUUGAACUAUACUGUCACCAAUAUUGUAAUGACUGAGUUUUAACCUGUUACUUAAGGCUCUUGGUAAUGUCAUAGCAAUGUUGCUAUGAUGUAGUUGAGUCUUUUCAGUCAUGAGUGAUCAGUCUUGCUGAUAACCCGUCUUUGCAAAGAGGCUACAAAGAUGCAUGUAAAUUCAAUUAAGGUUUUAUUGCUCCAAUGCUAUCAUGUGUUAAUGCUACACUGCUGUGAUUUGCAUCUUUAUAGUAUACUUUUAUGAAAUGUAUUGUUAAUUAUCUUCAUUGUUCAGCAAUAAAAAAAAGAUCUGAAAUAUUA
Engraulis encrasicolus (European anchovy) is the source of this 2193-nucleotide long non-coding RNA. RefSeq lists it as uncharacterized. Lineage: Eukaryota; Metazoa; Chordata; Actinopteri; Clupeiformes; Engraulidae. The transcript is spliced from 12 exons. The record is from RefSeq and is a predicted model, not a curated record.